Molecule: long non-coding RNA, 1338 nt
Filed under: Homo sapiens (human)
Lineage: Eukaryota; Metazoa; Chordata; Mammalia; Primates; Hominidae
Description: HSALNT0331770
Source: RNAcentral
AGCCCGAGAGAGUUCUGGCGAGGGCUGCGGGAAGGAAAGGGGGCGGCGUCCUUCACAGGGAGGGUGCAGCUGACCUCCCUCCCCUUGUGCAGACUGGAAAAGAAUGGCCCAGAUCCUCUGGACUCCUCAGAUGAGCGGAUUCAGAGAGAAGCUUUUGAGAGCGUGCUGGCGGAGACAUUUUUCACAAAAGAGCCCUUGCGGUGCUGGUGUCCGUGGCGUGCCUGGGCCCACCAACGCUGGCCGGCCUCCAAGCACCCGGGCCUCUGCUCAUGUACAGCUCCUGAACUGCCCUGCCUCUGAGUUACUGUGGAAAAUGAGCUUAUAUAUGAAGAAGUCAGCGAGUGGACAAAGCCAGGCGCAAUGGAUAGCAAAGAUGUGGAAGUCUCCUCGAUUCAAGUUACAAGAAAACCGCAGCAUGGAGUCUGCUCUCAGCUGUUGGGGAAUUACCGAUGCCUUUGACUAAGUCAAGACUGACUUUUCCAGAAUAUCACCCAAGAGAUAGAGCCGUCCCUGUCCAAGUUUGUGCGCUAGCCCUUCAUGGAGGUCAGAGAGGAAGAAACAAAGGCAGCUGUGGCCUCGGCGGUCACAGUGUCAGAACGCACAAGCCCCAUAAAGAGGUUUCACGCAGGCCACCCAUCCCUUUUCAUUCUCCAGCAGAACAGGACAGAGAGCGUUCUGUUCUGCGGAAGGUCUUCCACUCUACAAGGCAAUCCCUCCAGCUGCUUUGCUGUAUUGUGCUGUCUCCUGUCACACUAUGAAUGCAGUGACCUCAGCCAGCAACAGGGAGAACCCCCCUGCCUCCCGAACAAAGGACCUCACGUGAAAUCCUGAGCUCAGAGCUUACAGAUAUGUGUGCGCUUUCACUUUACAUCGGCCGUGACUUCCAAACAACUUCAGGAAACUUUAGGAUCUCUGAGGUAUACUGGAGAUGACAGCAGCGUAGAAUGUUCAUUUGGAUUUAGAACAGAAAUGCUUAUUUUAUAUUUGGCUGCUCCCAAACUGUCCCCAGACUUCCUCUCCAGUGGUUACCCUCCACUGCCCUGGAUGUCCCACGUUUACACUCCACACUCACACCUCCACCUUAACAAAGUCCUCCACUGGGUCAAACCAUACAUCGCUUCGUCUCUGUAGUGAUGACUUCCUGUCCUCUGCUCUGUGGAUAAAGACCCCAGAUAAAGAUGCCUGUGUUGCUCAACUCUUGUAAAUACUCUUGAGACAUUUUGAAAGCAGAAGGAAAGGAGACAGACGGGGAAAAUAAAAGGGAUGGUCUGCUUGUGCGGAAACGUUUUGAGAAUGCCCUUCCCUAAGAGAGAACAGUAAAAGUGAGCAAUACUUCCU